UCAUUACUGCGCUAAGGAUAGAAGCGGUAUCAUCCUUUGUAAAGGAGAUUUAGCGAAUAGCCUGUUUAAGC
RNAcentral lists this non-coding RNA (71 nucleotides) under Croceibacter atlanticus HTCC2559. Lineage: Bacteria; Pseudomonadati; Bacteroidota; Flavobacteriia; Flavobacteriales; Flavobacteriaceae. The record is from RNAcentral.